GCACCAAUAACCUACUUGUGGGCU
This 24-nucleotide non-coding RNA is filed under the name Arabidopsis thaliana (thale cress). The record is from RNAcentral. Lineage: Eukaryota; Viridiplantae; Streptophyta; Magnoliopsida; Brassicales; Brassicaceae.